RNAcentral lists this microRNA precursor (102 nucleotides) under Marmota monax (woodchuck). Lineage: Eukaryota; Metazoa; Chordata; Mammalia; Rodentia; Sciuridae. The record is from RNAcentral.
AGUGGGAUAGCUGGGUCAAAUGGUGGCUCCAUUCAGGUUUUCUGAGGAAUCUCCACACUGCUUUCCAGAGUGGUUGCAUCAGUUUGCAGACCCACCAGCAAU